GACGAACGCUGGCGGCGUGCUUAACACAUGCAAGUCGAACGGAAAGGCCUCUUUUGGGGGGUACUCGAGUGGCGAACGGGUGAGUAACACGUGAGUAACCUGCCCUUGACUUUGGGAUAACUUCAGGAAACUGGGGCUAUUACCGGAUAGGAGCUCCUGCUGCAUGGUGGGGGUUGGAAAGUUUCGGCGGUUGGGGAUGGACUCGCGGCUUAUCAGCUUGUUGGUGGGGUAGUGGCUUACCAAGGCUUUGACGGGUAGCCGGCCUGAGGGGGUGACCGGCCACAUUGGGACUGAGGUACGGCCCAGGCUCCGACGGGAGGCGGCAGUGGGGAAUAUUGCACAAUGGGUGGAAGCCUGAUGCAGCAACGCCGUGGGCGGGAGGACGGCCUUCGGGUUGUAAACCGCUUUCGCUCAUGACGAAGCUUUGUGUGACGGUAGUGGGUAAAGAAGCACCGGCUAACUACGUG
Molecule: ribosomal RNA, 467 nt
Filed under: uncultured bacterium
Lineage: Bacteria
Description: partial 16S ribosomal RNA
Rfam family: Bacterial small subunit ribosomal RNA
Source: RNAcentral